CAGACAUGUCCCCGUAUAUGCUAAAGCUAUCAUAUAUAUAUCUUAGUUAUUGUUCUAGUAUAGAAGGAUUGCCAUCAUCUGUCAUAUAUCUUUCUAGUUUAAGACACCUGAAAUUCAGAACAUACAAAAUUUAUAGGAUCAACAAUAUUCUAGUGGAGCAUGGAUUCUAGGAAAAUUUAGUCAAGGAUUAUACCAAAGCCUAUCCAAAGCUCCUCAAUUCACGUACUUUGAUAAAUUUGUGUUCGUUGAGAUCAUUAAAACUUAGUUGGAGACCCAUGGAAAGUGAAGUCUUCCUAAAAAAUCUCCAUACAUUUUCGUGCUUGGAAGCUUUAUACCUAAGUGGAAACAACAACUUAACCCAAUUACCUGAUAGCAUCUCCCAUCUUUCUCGUCUGAGAAAGUUGUAUUUGGAUGAGUGUCACUGACUUAAAAUUUUGCAUAGCCUCCCAUGAAGCAUACAAGAAUUAGAGGCCAACAAUUGCUAUUCUCUGGAAAAGAUUGACCAUCUAUUACAAGAGUAUGACAGCUGGUAUCAUAUUUCCUUCAUUAACUGUCAGAAACUUGUGGAGGAUGAGGAUAGCAAAAGAUACCUUGAUAAGAUGUUGCAGCAGAAAUCAUUCCUUAAGGUGCCCCAUUUCUUAGCUCCUUUCUCAUUUGUAUUUUAUUUAUUUCAGCCCAAACCUACUUGUAAAUCGACUUACUACAAAAUACCAAGCUGGUUCAAAGAGGCACAACCUGGGUAUAAUAUAGCAUUGGUGUUACCUCCCAAAUGCGAAACACAAAUCAAUGGGAUUGCGAUAUGUGGUGUCUUCCCUGGGGAGUGGCAAGGGACAAGUUAUCGUCCUAGUACCUACUUCAACUUAAAAAAGAUGGAAUGUCUAUUAGUAUUAGUUGGAAGAAGGAUGAAUGUAUUAAUAAUGCAUCUGCAGCAGCAACAGCAGAAGGUGAGGAUGGGAAUACGUGGAUAUGGUAUAGACCAUGUAAUUCCUUCGGGGGUCAACAUUGGUCUGCAGGUGGUACUCUACUCAUUUCAAUAAGCCAAGGUCAUGGUGCAAAAGCUGUAAGAUGUGCAGCACGACUUAUCUACAAAGAAGAUGUGGAAUCGAACCAACAAAUUACAACUUGUAUCUCCUAUCCAUGGAAGAACCAAAGGGAAAGGAGAAAAAGUGCCUACCAGGCCGCCCAAAAUUUUUAGAGGGUGAUGUUGUUCAAAACGUGAUAAUCCAUAAGUAGGUCACCCCCUACUGCAGGAAAACGGGAUUCCACAAACUUUGCCGCCAUAACUGCCGCUAAAAUUCCCAUGGAAGUUGAUCUAUGCUUCUUCAUCAUGGUCCAUUGAUUUUAAUCCCCAAUCGCAGCUGCAGUUCACUUCAUCGCUUCCAGAGAGCCAUUCGUUUCCCACACAACAGAUUGAAAGCAGUGCGUUAGGGUUUCUUGUCUCUUAAUUUUCUCAUGUUGUUACCUCUAGCAUCUGCUAUUUGCCCUACGUAAGGUUGGCUUAGGCUAUGUGGCUGAGCCAGUAAACAAUUAGCUACAGUCAAAUGAUGAAGAUUGGUUAGAUGAUGAGAAACAGUUUUUACUUGUAUGCGGUUUAGUCGUCAAAGGGGUGAUGGUAGUACAUAAUAUGAUGAAUAUCCCACGUAUCCCUUGUCGCACUUCCUGUCGUACAGGAAAUAUUUUUAUUCAAGAAAUACUCAAUGGUCAUCCUAGACAUUGUUAUGAAGAUUUCAGGUUACAUGUUGAUGUUUUCAAGAGCUUAUGUUCGGAUCUUGAAUGCACUACAACCUAAAGGAGACACGUAAUGUAUCUAUUGAAGAGUCUGUUUGUAUUUUUUUGUUGAUAUUAGCACACGGAUGUGGAAAUAGACUAGCUCAAGAAAUUUUCAAUCAUUCAGGGGAAACUAUUCAUAGACAUUUCCAUCGUGUUUUAAGAGUGUUUUAAGAGCGGUGCUUAAGCUUAGCGGGGACAUCAUCAUGCCUAAAGCAAACUACAAUGAUGAAGUACCUCCACAACUCUUAAACAACUCUCGGUAUUACCCCGUGUUCAAGGAUUGCAUUGGUGAUAUUGAUGGAACAUAUGUUAAGGCAUCAGUUCGAGAGCAUGAACAAGCAAAAUAUAUUGGUAGAAAAGGAUAUGCAACCCAAAAUACCAUGGCAGCAUGUGAUUUUAAUAUGUGUUUUACAUUUGCAUGGGCGGGAUGGGAAGGCACUGCACAUGACACAAGAAUUUUUUUAGAAGCAUUACAUAAGCCAGAGGUGAAAUUUCCUCGUCCAACGGGUGAUAAGUACUAUGUUGUUGAUGUCGGGUACCCAAAUACCAGAGGCUAUCUUGCUCCUUAAAAAGGAAAUGAUGUUCAUUAUCAUAUACCUGAUUUUCGUCGAGGUCAAAUAGCUGCCCAACGCGCUCCGAAAAGACUAAAAGAGACAUUUAACUACUAUCACUCAUCUUUAAGAAAUGUGAUCGAACGGACAUUUGGAGUAUGGAAGGCAAGGUGGGCAAUAUUAAAAGAUAUGCAUGUUAAUUACUCUUAUGAAACACAGGUCGACAUUGUGAUAGCAUCCAUGGCAAUUCACAACUACAUUAGGAUGAAAGGUCAUUUUGAUGAAGCAUUUAACAAAGCACAACAAGAAACUUAUCGUCCAACUCGAGAUGUUGAAAGUGAUAUAUCCAUCAAAAGUAAUUUAAUGGAACACAAGAAGACAUAACUACACGUCGUAGGCAAGUAGGCAAGAUAAUCUAUAUAUGAGUUUGGUAAGAGAGAAUUGCAAAAGAUAUUAUGCAAUCCAAUUGAAUGUUUAUCUGUUGCAAUUGUGGUACUAAUGCAGAAUGGUGAAUAAUUUGUUUACUUACCUUGUACCGAAAUCAUAUGGCGUAUCGAUUGAACUGGAGUUUGUUUUUUUUGGCUUCUUGA
This is a long non-coding RNA of Helianthus annuus (common sunflower), 2911 nucleotides long. RefSeq lists it as uncharacterized. The record is from RefSeq and is a predicted model, not a curated record. NCBI's taxonomy places the organism in Eukaryota, Viridiplantae, Streptophyta, Magnoliopsida, Asterales, Asteraceae. The transcript is spliced from 6 exons.